This is a long non-coding RNA of Helianthus annuus (common sunflower), 1247 nucleotides long. RefSeq lists it as uncharacterized. NCBI's taxonomy places the organism in Eukaryota, Viridiplantae, Streptophyta, Magnoliopsida, Asterales, Asteraceae. The record is from RefSeq and is a predicted model, not a curated record. The transcript is spliced from 11 exons.
UUAUAGAAUUGAUGAGUAUAUCAAUCGCUAUUUGUAAUUGAAACCGUAACUAUCAAAAAGCGAUUCUGAUUCCAUCAAUCUUGCCUAAAAUCUGGUGUGUUCUUCGAUCUAAACAGGCACAGGGCGGCGGCUAGGGUUCCACCACCACAUAAAGCUGACACUUCACUCUCAUUGUUAUUGUUUUACCAUACCCGGAUUUUGACCCGACUACAUAAACUCCUUAAUUAACCUAAUUACUCAUUCGCCUCAUUCAACAACGCUGCUGUGCAAAACACGGUCGGCAUCUACUUGGUUUUGCGAUGAAGGUAAAAUAUGAUAGAUUUGGAGACAAGUUCUUUGCAAUUCAAGAGUUUAUUAUGUGGGAAGGAAAACUAAAAGAGGGGAUUAUAGUGGAGAUUGUACCACCAAAAUCAUCUAAAACAGAGGUCCGAAGGUUAAAAGAUGGCGAAACUAUUGGCAAGAAAAGGUCGUGGCUGUAGCAAUAGUUAACCAUCGCAUCACUCGUUGGAUAAUUAGUUCGUAGAUAGACGUAUGGGGGUUGCUGGUUUUAAUGGUCAAGAUACUCAAUUUUUCCCAGUGGUGUAAAGGAUGCAAGUGGAAUCAUUUACACAGCAACUGUUGUCUCUGUUACAAUCUCCCAAUGUGGAGGUGUAUUUGAUACAUUCACAUAAGGGAUGAGCUUGGCACCAACCGGUACGGACCGGUAUUUGAAGUAUGCGAGAUGUUUCUCUUCAAAGCUCUAGGAAGAAACUAGAAUUGACGGGUGCUGGGGUUUUCUUGCGACGUCAGCCCGAAGCUCCAAUUGAGCCGGUUGAGAAAUGAGGAUUUUAACUAAAUAAAGUUAAUCAUGAUGAUGUGGCAUUGUGAAAUGAUGUUGAGUUGGAUCAACUUGCUAAUGGAGAAUUGGACUCGAAAGGGCGUUAGACUUUUAUCCGACUUGCAAUUAUCAGCCAUUGACACCAUCUAAUACUAUGGAGAAUGAUCCACAUGGAUAUGUUGUUGGUCUGUUGUUCUUAAAACAGACGAAGGUGACCUUUGGACUGUUGUUGUGAGAUAGACGUCGUCCAGAUACCAAAUGUCUAAUGGUUGGCGUACUUUUGAAUUUCUUCGUCGUUCAAAAAAGUGGGUCAAUGCAAUGGUUUAGUGAGUUGGGUUGUUGAAAACAAGGGAAUGAGGAGUAUGUAUGUUGCAUGAAUGGAAAAGUGUGAAGAAUCAAUGUUUACAGCAUGGGUACAACUUAUGGAUCA